AGUGAACCCUGGCGGCAGGCCUAACACAUGCCAGUCGAGCGGCCGCGCGGGGGCAACCCUGGCGGCUAUCGGCGGACGGGUGAGAAAUUCGUCGGAAUCUUCCUCUUUGUGGGGGAUAACGUACGUUAACUUACGCUAAUACCGCAUACGUCCUACGGGAGACAGUGUGGGACCACAAGGCGUCACGCAGACAGAUGAGCCGACGACAGAUUAGCUAGUUGGUGGGGUAAAGGCCCACCAAGGCGACGAUCGGUAGCUGGUCUGUGAGGAUGGUCAGCCACACUAGGACUGAGACACGGCCCAGACUCCUACGGGAGGCAGCAGUGGGGAAUAUUGGACAAUGGGCGCAAGCCUGAUCCAGCCAUGCCGCGUGUGUGAAGAAGGCCUUCGGGUUGUAAAGCACUUUUGUCCGGAAAGAAAUCCCUGGCGCUAAUACCUUCGGGGGAUGACGGUACCGGAAGAAUAAGCACCGGCUAACUUCGUG
Molecule: ribosomal RNA, 484 nt
Filed under: uncultured bacterium
Lineage: Bacteria
Description: partial 16S ribosomal RNA
Rfam family: Bacterial small subunit ribosomal RNA
Source: RNAcentral